AUGAACAGCUGCCUGCACACCUCCAGCAACGUCACCCUCCUGACGUCCUCGGUCUCCAGCGUGACCGGAAUCGUUUUCCUCCUCCUGGCCGCUCUGAUCGGGCUGCCGGGCAACCUGUUUGUGGUGUGGAGCAUCCUGUGGAAGAUGAAGCCCAGCUGCCGCUCAGUCACCUGCCUGCUGGUCCUCAACCUGGCCAUGGCCGACGGGGCCGUCCUCCUGCUCACGCCCUUCUUCAUCCUCUUCCUCACUUUCAAGACCUGGUUCUUCGGCCUUGCGGUCUGCAAAGGCGUCUACUACCUUUGUUGCGUCAACAUGUACGCCAGCAUCUUCAUCAUCACACUCAUGAGCGUGGACCGCUGCUUGGCCGUCAGCCGGCCCUACCUCUCCCAAGCCAUCCGCAAGAAGCACCUGGUGGUCAAGAUCUUGGCCGCCCUCUGGGCAGCGGCUGUCUUGUUGGCUGUCCCAGCCUUCGUGUACCGGCAGCUGGUGUCAGACCUGUCAGGGCGGUGGCUGAUCUGCGAGCCGUGCCAUGCCACACGGGGCCUGGCUGUCUUCCACUUCACCAUGGAGACAGUGGUGGCCUUUGUGGUGCCCUUUGCAGUCAUUGUGGGCUGCUACUCCGCCAUCUUGGUGCGGCUGCGGGGGCGGCGGUGGCACCGCCGGGGAGCACGGACGGGGAAGCUCAUAGCCGCCGUGGUGCUCUGCUUUGCUGCCCUCUGGGUGCCCUACCACGUGGUCAACGUGCUGCAGGUGGCCUCCAACAUGGCCUCAGGGAGGGUGGCGGAGAGCCUGGGCCAUGCGUGGAAGGCUGGCCGGGCGGGGGCCACCGCCCUGGCCUUCCUCAGCAGCAGCAUUAACCCCGUCCUCUACGUCUUCGCCGCCGGGGACCUGAUCAAGACCUCAGGGGCCAAGUUCAUUGCCCAGUUCUUCGAGGGGGCCUCCGGGGAGGUGCACAAGAAGUCGCCCUCCCAGAGGGACCUAGACAAGGACACAGUGGCAGGGGAAGGCAUGGAGAUAGGGCAGCUGCAGGCAUGGGGGGAGGGGGCCAAGCAGGACGGGACCAUAGGGCAGUUGACACCCCCUGGACAGGAUCCACACCAAGCUGCAGCCCCUUAGCCUUCCCUUAUGCAGUCCUACUUGUUCACUGCCCUUGCGGGUGCUUUCCCUUUAAGGGUGAAGUUUCUCUCUGCUGGACAUGAUUUCUCAUGGACACUUUCCCUUUAAGAGCAGGUCCUCACGGACACCUCCCCUUUAAUUUGCUCUUAAAGGAGAGUUUCUCGCUGCCAGACAUUUCUCACUACUGGAUAUUGGUCUUCAUGGACACUUCCCCUUUAAUUUGCUUUUAAAGGGAAGUUGUGCCAAACAUUUCUCACUGCCAGAUUCUGGCCCUCAUAGAUGCUUCCCCUUUAAUUUGCUCUUAAAGGGGAAUUUCUUACUGCCAAACACUGCUGCCUUACGUUCUUGUGCCCCCCUCCCCCCGGUGUCAUGGGACACGCCCUUCACAGGCAGUUUAUCCCUGCCAGGCUCCAUCCAGCAUGGAGACUUUCCCUUUAAGAGUGGAAUGUCUCAUUGCCAGACUCUGAUCCUCAGGGAGAUGUCCCCUUUAAGGACACCGUUUCUCACUGCCAGAGUCCAAAUUUCAGGGUCACUUCCGCUUUAAGGGGCAUUUAAAGGGGAAUGUCUUUGUGCUGGACUCCCAUUCCCAUGUUGUAUUAAUGGGAGCAAACUGCUGCCUCCUUGUGGUGAAAUGUGGGCAUUGCGAGUCCAGGUCAUAGACGAGAAAGACAUAGGAACUGCCCUGCUCCCAGACUGGCCCCAUGACCCUGCCGGGUGCGGCCCAGGGCACAUGCCGCUGUCCCUUGCCCCAUGGACUCAUGCGGUUACCACCUGUAGGUGCCGUGAAUACAGAGCAGCACCCAUUCUGCCCAAUAACUGCCUCUUAUCCCACAGGCCGUGCAGAAGACAGGCCAGGCCAGCUACUCACCUGAUGUAAUACAAAGGUUGUUAUAUGGGUAGCGCUACCCAGUCAAUGUUCCUGGGGUCUGUCCCCCUCUCUGGGAGGGGAGUGGUGUCUAGUGGUUAGAGCAGUGGUGGCUGAGAGCCAGGACUCCUGGGUUCUAUCCCUAGCUCUGGGAGGAGAGUGGGGUGUAGUGGGUUAGAACAUUGAGGCCUGGGCAUCAGGACUCCUGGGUUCCAUCCCUGGCUCUGCCACUGAUCUGCUAUGAGUCCUUAGGCAAGAAACGUCCUCUCUCUCUGCCUCAGUUUCUCCUCCCAUCCCUUGUCUAUUUAGUUUGUAAAUAAGGCAGGAGUUGGCUGUCCUUCUGAGUCUGUGCAACACCCGACACAAGGGAGGGCCCCCCGAUCUCAGUCGGGGGUCUGUGCAGCACCUGGCACAAUCUGGGUUCUGAUCUCGGUGGGGAUCUCUGCAGCACCUGCCACAACAGGAAGGCCUGAUCUGACUCAGGUCACCUCCCCCGAGACACCCAGCUCUCAGCGGGGCGGAUCUGCCUGUGGGUUACCCAACGCUGCUGAAGCUUCCGCUGGAUGCUCGUACCCGCUGACUCAGCCACCUCGGAGCAGCCAGACGGGCUGGGGUGAUUCUGAGAGACACCCCACAGCUGAUGCGGCUGGAGGAAGCUUUGACUAGGGCAAGAAGGUCCUAAGGAUUAACCACCCUUCUCUCGCCCCGAUGACCAACGUCACCUUCAACGCCACUGCCCAGCCAGGUGCGCUGCCCCCGUUGCCCGGCGCCAAGCUGGGGCUGACCGUGCUCUCCUUGGCCUUCAUCCUGGGCUUCCCGGGCAACAUCUUCGUGGUGUGGAGUGCUCUCUGGCGUGUCCAGAAGCGCACAGUCACCUGCCUCCUCAUUCUCCACCUGGCCUUGGCCGACUGCGCCGUGCUGCUCACUUCCCCUUUCUUCCUUCGGCUCCUGAGCGCCGGAAAGUGGGAGUUCGGCCCUGUGGUCUGCCAGCUGUGCCACUAUGUCUGCGGCGUCAGCAUGUACGCCAGCAUCUUCCUCAUCACCCUCAUGAGUCUGGACCGCUGCUUAGCUGUCACCAAGCCCUUCAUCUCCCAGAAGAUCCGGACCGCCCUGGUGGUCAGGUCCUUGGUCCUGGCCAUCUGGAUGGUCUCUUUCCUCCUUGCCUUGCCCGUCAUUUUCUACCGCAAGCUGGUGCACAGGGGCAGGCACCUGCUCUGCGACCUGUCCCAUCCCGCCACUGGCCACCUUGUCUUCCACAACCUUUUUGAGACCCUGACCGGCUUUGUGCUGCCCUUCACUGCCAUCAUCUGGAGCUACUGCGUCAUCGGGCGCAGGCUGCAGGAGACCCGCUUCCGGAGGAAGCGCCGCACCAACCGGCUCAUUGUGCUGAUUGUGGCUGCCUUCGCCCUCUUCUGGCUACCCUUCCACGUGGUGAACAUCCUAGACGUGGCUGGGGCUCUGAGCCACUCCAAGGGUCUCAUCAUGGCUGGGAAGUUGGCCCGGCCCACCCUGACGGCCCUGGCUUUCUUCAGCAGCAGCGUCAACCCCAUCCUCUAUACCUUCACCGGCGGUGCCUUGAUUAAGUCGGCCGGCAUAGGCUUCAUGGCCAAGCUCUUUGAGGGGACGGCCUCAGAGAUGUCCAGCACGCGGCAGGGGACGGGGCGGACCAUCCAGCGGCGCGAGGAGGCCAAGUUGGAGAUGCCGCAGGAUGGGAACCCAGAGAGCAUCACCGUUUCCACCAACCCCCUGGAGUAGCCCUCGGCCAUGUGGGACAGGCACUUCGACAAUCCCAUCUCAUCCAGCAACACCCUGGACUAGACCUGGGGCCAUGUGGGACUGGAGCACCACUAAUCCCAGCACAUCCACCAUCGCUCUGGACUAGCGCUAGGGCAUGUGGGAUGGGAACUCCUAACAAUCCCACCUCAUCCAUCAACACCUUGGGCUAGUCCUGUGUCCGUGUAGAACAAGAAUGGAAAAAAUCUUCCAACUGGCUCCUUCAUAGAAUAUCAGGGUUGGAAGGGACCUCAGGAGGUCAUCUAGUCCAACCCCCUGCUCAAAGCAGGACCAAUCCCUAAUUUUUGCCCCAGAUCCCUAAAUGGCCACCUCAAGGAUUGAACUCACAACCCUGGGUUUAGCAGGCUAAUGCUCAAACCACCGAGCUAUCCCUUCCCACCUUCAUGGAGCGAUGGUGAAACUGUCAAGAAUUUGCUGGGAGAGUGUGUUUGCUUCUUAUUUGGGGGUUGACCUGGUCUGAACAACCUUCCCGCAACAUCCAUUUCCCCGUUUCUCACCCAGCUGUGACUUUGCGGGAACAAACCCAGACUCCAAUAUCUCCACCUUGACACCAACAGGGACUGGCCCAGCUACACCAGGAGAAUAAUUAGACUUUGUGUAAAUACGGAAAAGGGACUCCAGUCUGAAUGGGGAUAUAUGAUUUAGGGAGUGAAGGCGCUGCCAUUGUUCUGUGGAGAGGAAGCACCCCAUCUGUUCAAAUGGCAGGGAAGUGAAAGUUGAGGGGUAGAGGAGAACGGUUGAGGGACAGAGGCAGGUGGAGGGGGAAGAGACGGAGAGAAACAGGGUGAGGGUGAGAGGGAUGGAGGGAACGUUGAGAGCUGAGGCUGGGCGAGUCCAUGUCUUCAGGAAGUUACAAGAGGCGCUUGAGGCUGCACUGGCCCCAUCCAAGAGCAGGGCCCCCAUUUUGCCAGGCACUGCACAAACCCACAGUGAAAAAGCCCCUGCUUCUAGGAAUUGCAGACUAAAUGGGCAAAGACAGGAUUAUCGUCCCUAUUUUGCAAAUGGGGAAACUGAGGCAUGCGGGAAGUGCAGCGACUUGUCAAAGGUGAUAUAGGGAGUCUGUGGCAGAACAAGGAAUAGAAUGCAGGUGUCUGGGGACCCAGUCCAGGGGCCUGAACCGCAAAACCAUCCUUCCCCUAAGUCUAUUUUCACAGCCGGAUAAAAAGGGAGUCUGGGAUUUCACCAGGUGCUUUCCUAUCUCCCAUCUGAGCGGAGAUGUGUGGUUGGCUGCUCCCAGUGGCCAGCUUGGGUACUGCACGCCAUCGUUCCAUAGAGACGCGCCUAAAAGCAGCUAUUUUAAGCUCUGGCACCUGCUUAAAACCAGGGUAGUAAGUAUGCAAUUCAUCCCGUCUAGGGGGCACCAGCUCAGAUCCAGCCCCAACUUGGGGGGGGGGAUGACUGGCUGGCUUAGCGGGUGGGGAACGGGACACACGGCCUAUCCCUGCCAGGGGGCGCUGGCUCCAACCCAGCCCCUCAGCGUGUGAAUUCACCCUCUGUGUUAAUUUGCUUAAUUAAAGGAAAGUUUCUUUGUA
RNA transcript from Chelonia mydas (Green sea turtle), 5307 nucleotides. It is a transcript of the gene named leukotriene B4 receptor 2, with no coding region annotated. The record is from RefSeq and is a predicted model, not a curated record. Lineage: Eukaryota; Metazoa; Chordata; Testudines; Cheloniidae. The transcript has 3 exons.